This 65-nucleotide transfer RNA is filed under the name Wallacidia oculata. RNAcentral describes it as "tRNA-Trp". The record is from RNAcentral. Lineage: Eukaryota; Metazoa; Arthropoda; Insecta; Hymenoptera; Mutillidae.
AAAAUUUUAAGUUACAUAAACUAUUAAUCUUCAAAAUUAAAAAUAUUAUUUUAUAAUAAAUUUUA